UCCCUGGUGGUCCAGUGGUUAAGACUCUAGUCUUCCAAUGCAGGGGACACAGGUUCAAUCCCUGGUCAGGGAA
Bos taurus (domestic cattle) is the source of this 73-nucleotide non-coding RNA. NCBI's taxonomy places the organism in Eukaryota, Metazoa, Chordata, Mammalia, Artiodactyla, Bovidae. The record is from Rfam.